Homo sapiens (human) is the source of this 542-nucleotide long non-coding RNA. The record is from Ensembl. Lineage: Eukaryota; Metazoa; Chordata; Mammalia; Primates; Hominidae.
GGAGAAAGCAGCCCGACUCAGCCCCGAGAGGUUCGGUGUGCGGGCAGCGGCCAGGGACUUUGCGGGGUAGCGCGGACUCCUGGACUUCCAACAAGGGCCGCUGCGCAGGCGCUGCAAUCACUGCAGGCACUUGUCUGCAUGCCUGGUGGGGCUUGGAGUCUGGGGAGGCUUAUCAGUAAAGCCCAGAGCAUUUGCUAUUUAUUGCUCAAGGGGCACCUUUGUACAGUCUGGCCGUUUGCUUGGCAUGGCCUCUUAGAACUCCUUAUUGUUUAAGAAAUCCGAUCUGGUGAAUAAGAAGUUAGUCUUUCUCUCCCAGUCACUGCCUCCUGGACGAAUAUUUGCCAGCACGGAGGCAGAGAGGACAGAAAACCACAAGCCAUUUGGGGAACUGGGAACAGUUCAGUGUUUCUGGGGUGUGGGGGUGUCAAGGUGGGGGAUGGGGUUGAUGGAAAACAUUUGCAAUUUCUGCUUUACCUCACGAUUCCCAGCUCUGACCUCUGGACCUGUUCUCUCCCACCCCUAACAUAAAUCAUUUUAGUUUC